This 778-nucleotide long non-coding RNA is filed under the name Nicotiana tabacum (common tobacco). RNAcentral's name for it is "long non-coding RNA (NTAB_LNC006456)". The record is from RNAcentral. Lineage: Eukaryota; Viridiplantae; Streptophyta; Magnoliopsida; Solanales; Solanaceae.
CCUUUUAGCCAGCAUUAGAGUUUUAAACUCUAAACUGAGCUUUUUCCAUGCAAUCAGCAUUAGAGUUUUAAGCCCUAAACUGAAUUUUCCUUUUAGUCAGCAUUAGGGUUUUAAACCCUAAACUGAAUUUUCCUUUCAGCCAGCAUUAGAGUUUUAAACUCUAAACUGAGCUCUUCCAUGCCAUCAGCAUUAGGGUUUUAAACCCUAAACUGAAUUUUUCUUUCAGCCAGCAUUAGAGUUUUAAACUCUAAACUGAGCUUUUCCAUGCAAUCAGCAUUAGGGUUUUAAACCCUAAACUGAAUUUUCCUUUCAGCCAGCAUUAGAGUUUUAAACUCUAAACUGAGCUUUUUCCAUGCAAUCAGCAUUAGGGCUUUAAACCAUAAACUGAAUUUUCCUUUCAGCCAGCAUUAGAGUUUUAAACUCUAAACUGAGCUCUUCCAUGCCAUCAGAAUUAGGGUUUUAAACCCUAAACUGAAUUUUCUUUCAGCCAGCAUUAGAGUUUUAAACUCUAAACUGAGCUUUUCCAUGCAAUCAGCAUUAGGGUUUUAAACUACUGAAUUUUCCUUUAGGUCAGCAUUGGGGUUUUAAACCCUAAACUGAAUUUUCCUUUUAGUCAGCAUUGGGGUUUUAAACCCUAAACUGAAUUUUCCUUUUAGUCAGCAUUAGGGUUUUAAACCCUAAACUGAACUUUUUCCUUUCAGCCAGCAUUAGAGUUUUAAACUCUAAACUGAGCUUUUCCAUGCAAUCAGCAUUAGGGUUUUAAACCCUAAACUGAAUU